UGGGGGAUAUUGCACAAUGGGCGAAAGCCUGAUGCAGCGACGCCGCGUGGGGGAUGAAGGCCUUCGGGUUGUAAACUUCUUUUGCUCUGAACAAGGCAUGCUAAUGGGUGUGUUGAGUGUAGGGGUUGAUUAGCGCCGGCUAACUACGUGCCAGCAGCCGCGGUAAUACGUAGGGCGCGAGCGUUGUCCGGAAUUAUUGGGCGUAAAGGGCUUGUAGGUGGCUGGUUGCGUCUGUCGUGAAAGAUCAUGGCUUAACUGUGGGUUUGCGGUGGGUACGGGCUGGCUUGAGUGCAGUAGGGGAGGCUGGAAUUCCUGGUGUAGCGGUGGAAUGCGCAGAUAUCAGGAGGAAUACCGGUGGCGAAGGCGGGUCUCUGGGCUGUUACUGACACUGAGGAGCGAAAGCAUGGGGAGCGAACAGG
Molecule: ribosomal RNA, 419 nt
Filed under: bacterium
Lineage: Bacteria
Description: partial 16S ribosomal RNA
Rfam family: Bacterial small subunit ribosomal RNA
Source: RNAcentral